UCCUGGGGAGCGUUCUGGGCGAAGAACUCCGGGAGCACACGCAGGGGUGACUCCGUCUGCCUGGGCUGCUCCCCGCGGAGAUCCCUCCCCACUCUGACCCCGUGAAGUCAGACAACUGUCGCUCUGAGUCGGCCCAGGGCUUCACCAGGCCUCACAGUGGCCAGGUCCUGCCUGGUCCGCCUGCUGACAGCACAGCCAGUCUGCGCCAUUUGCCAGCACCCUGGGCCUCGCUGCGCAGGCUCCAGCUGCUCUCUUUCCUGACCGGGAUGUGGCCACAGCCCCCUAAAUACACUUUCAAAUUGGCCUCCGGGACUGUGAGAAUGCAUCUCUGUGGUUCAGGCCAGGCAGCCUGUAGCCAUCACGCUGGCAGCCCUUCGGAACAGUGACAGUCGGCCAGGAGGGGAGCAAGGGUUACAAGAAACACGGGGGCUUUCCAAGGCUUGUUAUCCUCGAAUGAGACGACUUCACGAUGACUCUGAAUCGGAAAAAUAAAACUGCCAAAGUUG
Myotis davidii is the source of this 506-nucleotide long non-coding RNA. RefSeq lists it as uncharacterized. Lineage: Eukaryota; Metazoa; Chordata; Mammalia; Chiroptera; Vespertilionidae. The transcript is spliced from 2 exons. The record is from RefSeq and is a predicted model, not a curated record.